UACAGAGGGUGCAAGCGUUAAUCGGAAUUACUGGGCGUAAAGCGUGCGUAGGUGGCUUGACAAGUCGGGUGUGAAAUCCCCGGGCUUAACCCGGGAACUGCAUUCGAUACUAUCAAGCUUGGAGUCUGGUAGAGGGUAGUGGAAUUCCGGGUGUAGCAGUGAAAUGCGUAGAUAUCCGGAGGAACACCAGUGGCGAAGGCGGCUACCUGGACCAAGACUGACGCUGAGGCACGAAAGCGUGGGGAGCAAACAGG
RNAcentral lists this ribosomal RNA (254 nucleotides) under uncultured bacterium. RNAcentral describes it as "partial 16S ribosomal RNA". It matches the Rfam family "Bacterial small subunit ribosomal RNA", at positions 524 to 776 of the family's 1533-position model. The record is from RNAcentral.